Molecule: ribosomal RNA, 530 nt
Filed under: uncultured bacterium
Lineage: Bacteria
Description: bacterial SSU rRNA
Rfam family: Bacterial small subunit ribosomal RNA
Source: RNAcentral
AUCCUGGCUCAGGACGAACGCUAGCGGCGUGCCUAAUACAUGCAAGUCGAACGGUCUUUUCUAUGGAAGCUUGCUUCCACUGAGAAGAUAGUGGCGAACGGGUGAGUAACACGUGGGUAACCUGCCCAUAAGAGGGGGAUAACAUCCGGAAACGGGUGCUAAUACCGCAUAGUUUUCUUGAUCGCAUGAUCGGGAAAGGAAAGACGGCCUUUGUGCUGUCGCUUAUGGAUGGACCCGCGGCGUAUUAGUUAGUUGGUGAGGUAACGGCUCACCAAGACGAUGAUACGUAGCCGACCUGAGAGGGUGAUCGGCCACAUUGGGACUGAGACACGGCCCAAACUCCUACGGGAGGCAGCAGUAGGGAAUCUUCCGCAAUGGACGAAAGUCUGACGGAGCAACGCCGCGUGAGUGAAAGAAGGUUUUCGGAUCGUAAAACUCUGUUGUCAGAGAAGAACAAGUUGGAGAGUAACUGCUCCAGCCUUGACGGUAUCUGACCAGAAAGCCACGGCUAACUACGUGCCAGCCGCCGC